Molecule: ribosomal RNA, 370 nt
Filed under: Escherichia coli
Lineage: Bacteria; Pseudomonadati; Pseudomonadota; Gammaproteobacteria; Enterobacterales; Enterobacteriaceae
Description: partial 23S ribosomal RNA
Rfam family: Bacterial large subunit ribosomal RNA
Source: RNAcentral
UUGGCUAAUCCUGGUCGGACAUCAGGAGGUUAGUGCAAUGGCAUAAGCCAGCUUGACUGCGAGCGUGACGGCGCGAGCAGGUGCGAAAGCAGGUCAUAGUGAUCCGGUGGUUCUGAAUGGAAGGGCCAUCGCUCAACGGAUAAAAGGUACUCCGGGGAUAACAGGCUGAUACCGCCCAAGAGUUCAUAUCGACGGCGGUGUUUGGCACCUCGAUGUCGGCUCAUCACAUCCUGGGGCUGAAGUAGGUCCCAAGGGUAUGGCUGUUCGCCAUUUAAAGUGGUACGCGAGCUGGGUUUAGAACGUCGUGAGACAGUUCGGUCCCUAUCUGCCGUGGGCGCUGGAGAACUGAGGGGGGCUGCUCCUAGUACGA